AAUACCUUCUUCCAAGGACA
This 20-nucleotide transfer RNA is filed under the name Pan troglodytes (chimpanzee). Its description in RNAcentral is "partial tRNA-Thr". The record is from RNAcentral. Lineage: Eukaryota; Metazoa; Chordata; Mammalia; Primates; Hominidae.